This 93-nucleotide ribosomal RNA is filed under the name Burkholderia cepacia. Its description in RNAcentral is "partial 23S ribosomal RNA". It matches the Rfam family "Bacterial large subunit ribosomal RNA", at positions 1 to 93 of the family's 2925-position model. Lineage: Bacteria; Pseudomonadati; Pseudomonadota; Betaproteobacteria; Burkholderiales; Burkholderiaceae. RNAcentral also lists the same sequence under 2 other names. The record is from RNAcentral.
GGUCAAGCGAACAAGUGCAUGUGGUGGAUGCCUUGGCGAUCACAGGCGAUGAAGGACGCGGUAGCCUGCGAAAAGCUACGGGGAGCUGGCAAA